UACAUUCGACGGUGGGCAGGAAAUAGUCGUUGCAAAUAAUAGCGAGCAGUAUGAAGAAAUAGACGGCGGCAAAGACAUGCAACACGACCCAGCCUUGACGUAAUUGCUCCACUGUUCGGAGGAGAAGAGAGGUGAAGAGUGUUAAGUUUGCCAUUUACAUGCAGACACCAUAUAACACCGUGUCACACAUGAUGUGCGUGCGAACGCGUGGUAAAUGAAAACAAUAACAUCGAAUAACGUAAAUUUAAAGCGUUGAUGUAAACAAACAAGGGAAUAAUAAGCUUUUUAAAAAUAAGUGAAUUUUGAUUAAUUUUGAGUUAAUGUUGUGUUGUGUGUGUGAUUUAAAGUGUUAAAAAAAGUUUAGAAUAGUGUAAUGAGAAUAGUGUAAAAAAAUCAUAGUGAAAAUUUGUGAAAAUUGUGCAAUCAAGUCAUAGUGAAAAUUUGUGAGACACGUGUGCGAAAGCAGCUGGGAAAUUGGCUUAAAUAUUCAGCGCUAACUGCGGUAUUUCAGUGCGCAAACGACUUACAUAUUUUGUGGACCUAUGGAAUGAAAUUGAAAUGCUCAAAUAGCAAAAGAGCAGUUAAUUCGUGUUGGUGCAGCGUAAUUUAGAGCGCAUAUUAUUUUGUGCAACAUAACCUUAAUGCAGUGAACUAGCAGUUGAGUUAGCGCACUUUGUACGCAUUAGCGGUACAUUUGUAAUGAUAAACUAGGAUUGCGGGCAAUGCUUAAAGUUUGCUCGAAACUUUUUACAAAAAGACUGGGGUUUACUUUUUUGCUGGUUAUUUAUUUACUACGGCACAUAAGCAACAAAGCUUGAGUUAAGCAAUAAGCAGCAAGUGUGAAGGCAGCGACACUUUAUUAAGGCGCAACAACAAAGUAACCCUGAGUAAUUCACAACUAGAUGUCGCUCUCGUCAUGAUAAAAGUGGUAAAGGUGGCUUAAAGUGUGUAAAUAAGAAGCAGAAAUUAUGAAGUUAUUAGAAAAAGUGAUUCAAGUGCAAUAGCAAAGCGCCUAGCAGGCAUAAACGCCACGCUGCUUUAUGUGUUAAAAUCGUCAACAGGAGCUUUGCUUAUGCUCCUUUUUUCUAACAUUUACGCUUCUGUAGAGUAAAUUUGGUGUAAAGUGCAUUAAAUGUUAAAUAUUAUUAAGUAUUCAUCAUGAAUACUCGAAAGUGUUACAUCUCAAUUAUAGUGUGCAUGCACGACCGAAUAAUGUGUGCAGGUGUUCGGAGCUUCGAUUUUAUAUUACAAAACAGCAAUAAUUAUAUUAACGAUGUAUGAAGUAUACAAGAAUAUCUCUGUUGGUGUGGAGCUGCAAACUCUUACUUAAUCAGUUACUACCAACACGGCAGCAUCUGAAACGAUUCACGCCUUAUACAGUAUACCGUAAUCUACCCGCUUGUUGUUGCACUGGACAGCGAUUGCACAAAGGAGCUUUAAGCUCAUUACUAGAAAUCGUUUGAGCACCUACGCCGUCAUUGAGCUUUUUGUCGUCCAGUUAAGUUAGCAUAACGAGCACACCGUUAUUUUGGAGCAAAAAUUCCGCAUAACAACUAGUCUUCAAUUCUUCAAUGUACUUAAAGAAAAAUCAUCAUUUCGACUAGCAAGUUCACAUUCUCCGAGAGUGCCGAUAAUUACUGUUAGAAGACAAAUUUUUCAGAGCCAAAUGUUUGGGAGGUGGUCUGUGUCAGAUUUGUUGAGCUGCUGAAGAUUUAUUGUAUUACUAAAUGAAUUAAAGGGAACUGGGAGUAAGCUGUCCUAGAGCUGUUGUGGCAUAGUGCAAUUAUUUUGUGCGGCGCUGUAUGCAUGCAACCUUCUUGGCAGUUCCGCGAAAGUCUCGGUACUUCCAGAACAGUUAACUUCACCCAAGUGAAUGUAACAAGUCGAAAGUGAACGCAUAAAAAAAGAAAAAAUAAAUAAAUAAAAAAAACUAUAAAUUUGCAAACAGAAAUGUAAAUUUGUGAG
RNAcentral lists this long non-coding RNA (1965 nucleotides) under Bactrocera latifrons. RNAcentral describes it as "uncharacterized LOC108973939, transcript variant X4". Lineage: Eukaryota; Metazoa; Arthropoda; Insecta; Diptera; Tephritidae. The record is from RNAcentral.